AUGAUUUCACACAUCCAGCUGAUCUGGCCCCUGGCAUUCUGUAUCGCAGGUAUCAGUGGGGACAUCACCAUGACCCAGUCUCCCCCGGUGCUGUCAGUGGAACUGGGCCAGACUGCAACCAUCACCUGUAAGGCCAGUCAAAGCAUUAGCAGCUACCUUGCUUGGUACCAGCAGCGAGAAGGUCAGAAACCCUCUCUCCUGAUCUAUUAUGCAGCAACUCGAUUCACAGGAGUCUCAGAGCGAUUCACCGGCAGUGGAUCAGGGACCAGUUUCACCCUGACAAUCAGCAACGUUCAGAAUGAGGAUGUGGCUGACUAUUACUGUCAGCAAGGUGACAGCUGGCCGUACACGUUCGGUAAAGGAACCAAGCUCAGACUGAAAAGCCGUGACAACUCUCAGCCCAAGCUGACCCUGCUGCCUCCCUCCCUGGAGCAGGUCAAUGCCAAGGGCACUGCCACCCUGGUGUGCCUUGCCAAUCACUUCUAUCCCGAUGAGCUGGAGGUGCAGUGGAAGAAGGACGGUGCAGUCAUUUCGGACGGGGUUCAGACCAGCAACUACCUGCGAGCUUCGGACAGCACCUACAGUGUCAGCAGCCUGCUGACCCUCUCUGGGUCUGACUGGGAGUCCAACGCUCGCUUCUCCUGUGCCCUCACCCACGUGACCCUCCCCUCUCCCCUCAGCAAGAGCAUCAGGAGAUCA
This is a non-coding RNA of Hemiscyllium ocellatum (epaulette shark), 699 nucleotides long. The record is from the annotation of a RefSeq genome assembly. Lineage: Eukaryota; Metazoa; Chordata; Chondrichthyes; Orectolobiformes; Hemiscylliidae.